RNAcentral lists this non-coding RNA (22 nucleotides) under Arabidopsis thaliana (thale cress). The record is from RNAcentral. Lineage: Eukaryota; Viridiplantae; Streptophyta; Magnoliopsida; Brassicales; Brassicaceae.
GUAGCGGUUAUUAGCGGUUGGC